Long non-coding RNA from Tachysurus fulvidraco (yellow catfish), 808 nucleotides. RefSeq lists it as uncharacterized. The record is from RefSeq and is a predicted model, not a curated record. The transcript is spliced from 3 exons. NCBI's taxonomy places the organism in Eukaryota, Metazoa, Chordata, Actinopteri, Siluriformes, Bagridae.
UGUGUAUGUGGGAAUGUCUUCAUAUGCAAAGUGAAGUGUUCUGCACAGAUUAGCACAAAGCGUAAAACAAAAAUCAUAAAAAGAAAAUGCAUGCUGUACAUAUCCUUUGACAUUUGGAAAAUCGAAUAGUAUCUAUGGGACUUGUUCAUGAAUGUUUAUGAAUCCAUGGAAUCAGAAGAAAUGGACAUCUAGAGUCCCUUGAUGCUAAUGUAAUCAUCAGAAAUGUCUGAUAAACUAACAAACCAAAUCUGAUAUUUGAUUGUUUUACUUAUUGUGCAUUUUAAAUAACAUACUUCAGAAUACGAACACAAAUUUGUCUUCACGAAUGAAAUUAAAUGUGGUGUUCACUGUGUCAGAAAUUAUGACACCACAUGUUUACAUGCAAUCAUCUCUUUUUAACUUCUAUUUUUAUUUCAAUGACAGUCUUAUUUAAAUAAAUGUAUUAUACUUUUAAAAUGGAGUCUUCUAUCAUAAGGAAUGAAAAAAAUCUGACUUAAUAGACAGCAAUAACAAUAUCUUUUUUUUUUCAGUUUCGAGUCAUCAGAAUCAAGCUUUAUAAGGGUCACUUUCACCGAUGGGAUUUUGAGCAACGACCCGGAAGUAGUACUUUCGACCUGGAAAGAGACCAGUGACUGUGUAUUUGCUGCUGAAGAUGCGCUCAGCAGCUGUGAACCAGGCAGCCAACACUGUAGGAGUUGCCGGUGAUGGGAAUUUUGGUGCACUUUGUCCAUUCCUUUGCAUGUUCAGAACGAACUUCAAGGAUGUAGCCAGAGGGAUCAUCUCCUGCCUUGGGGGGACACCAAGCCAG